ACCCAGCUGGCGAGUCCCAAAUAGGACUGAACGCGCGUCCUUGAU
This 45-nucleotide non-coding RNA is filed under the name Schistosoma haematobium. The record is from RNAcentral. Lineage: Eukaryota; Metazoa; Platyhelminthes; Trematoda; Strigeidida; Schistosomatidae.